Molecule: long non-coding RNA, 6979 nt
Filed under: Vitis vinifera (wine grape)
Lineage: Eukaryota; Viridiplantae; Streptophyta; Magnoliopsida; Vitales; Vitaceae
Description: long non-coding RNA (VVIN_LNC000679)
Source: RNAcentral
AGGAAGAUCCUCAGUACAUUUAUUAAAGCACAUUGAAUAUAAACUUUCGGCUCAUUUUCUUAUCAGAAGACAUUAAUGCAAUUGAAAGUAUAUAAAACCCAUUUGAUUAUAAGAAAAAUAAAUGGGAUAUUCCACUAGUAAUGAACAGAAACAGGGACUUCACUGCCUUGCUCCAUCAAUUCAAGGACCAAACGGCCAAAAGAUUGGCCUUCUUGGGUGGGCACAGGUAGCUUCUCCCAUGGAAACUUGCAGAACUUGGAAGGCCAAGCAGGUAAUAAGUGAGAAGAUUGUAAAUUAUGUAUAUAAAGAAGAGUUUGAUUGAUAGUUCAACACCAAAUCCAGAGACUCAUAGACCAUAUAUCUUAACAACCAGAAUAAGCACCAAUAGUAAACUUCAUGGAAGUCCUAGAAUGGAAAUGAUUGUGAAAUUCAGGGUUGCCUUAAAAUCACUUCCUCUCUCCUUUCUACUCUCAACUGCAAUUGGGCGCCUUAAGCCUAGGUUGUGCCCGUUGAAUGUGAACAACAAUGACAUCUCCCUGGUGGCCUCUUUCCUGUACUAGUUCACAAAUGCAGGUGUCAUUUUCAUCCACAUGGUUCCACUUGCAGAAAGCUCUCCACCCGCUAAUCCAUGUCCGACCGUCCUUCCAGACAGCAACAUCUCCAGGCCAUGAUCUCCCGAGAGGGUCACGAAGCAACACCCUUGGAGGUAAUGCAAUGUUAUGGUCUUUAAGUACAUCUACUGGAACAUACUGUGAGAGGGGAAAAGGAAAGCUUCUUUGAGUAACUAGCAAACUGGCAAAAACUAGCAACUAUAAGUCAGGUCACUGCUCUGUAUAAUCAACAAAAUAACAAGAAAUCAAGUAUAAGCCAUCAAUUGGAUUUCUUAAGAAACCUGGAUUCAAUGAGUGUAUGCAUGCAUGUAUGGGACAAAUUACAAACCAUGGCCUCUCUUAAUCAGUCAGUGAUCUGCCUCUCUUGCAUAUUUGGCAGUAGCAAGACUACUGAGAAAAGGAAAUGCUUCUUUCAAGGAAAUCUCCCCAACCCACCUAUUCAACCAAAGCUUGGGCUGCUUAUCAUUCCCAACCAAAAUAGCAAUUCAAAGAAUGACCUCAUCCCACCCCUCUCUAAUGGCUUCCCACAACCCAACACCAUGUGUAUUCUUUACCUCUUAAGUCCUUUGAACCCGCUCCAUCUCAUCAAACCUUUCUCGGAUGACUUUCCUCCAAAAAACCGUCCUUCAUAGCAAAUCUCCACAAACACUUAUCAAGUAUGGUUUUAUUUAGGAUAUUUACCCAAUGAUAUUCAUCCUAGAUAGCCAUCAAAUGUUAUUGGGAAUUACCCAUUAAGAUAUCUCAAGGUCAUAUUCGGCUUCUACAGAAAGGCUAAGAAGAUGUGGGAAGACGUUGUGGUGACUAGUGUCAUGGAUUAUAGUACCUUUGACCCUAGGCAAAACAAAUGAACAAUCAACCAAAGAAGUAUUUAAAGCCUUUUCAAUAAUAGAAAAGACUAUGUAGGUUAUAAAAGAUGGGACACAAAACCAUAAAAGAGUUCAGGAAGAGAAAAUUAUAGAUAGGUGAUGCAAGCCUUACCAAUUUACUUGGCCUCAUUGGUCUUAAUUUUGUCGUGAAAUAAGGAUUUUUGCUUUCAACAAUACUUGCCAUGGCAAAUGAAUUGUCUACCUCAGCCUGGGUGCAGGAAGGUUUUUUAUACGUGCUGUUGCUAUGAGAGGUUCCGAUGUAUGCAACUCUGGUUUUUUUUACAGCAGUUCGUUUGUAACCUCCUAAAUCAAGGAAGACUGUAGGUCAAAUAUGGACAAAUACAAUAUAUAUACUUAUGCCCAUAAAAGAAAUAAUGGAAAACUGUUGAGAAAAUAAAAGAAUUACAAAACUUAACUAUAAUUUCUUGUACCAAUUGGUGGUCGACCUCUGCCAGAAUAUUUAUGCUUCAAUACAACCACUUUCUUGUUAGAAGAUUUUGGUUGUGGUUCCUCUUCCUCUCUGUCAUUUGUUUUGUCCUCCUCCUCUUCAUCUGAUGACUCCUCUUCUUCCUCCUCUUCCUCCUCCUCCUCCUCCUCCUCCUCCUCAUCUUCUUCAUCUUCCUCUUCUUCUUCCUCAUCUUCCUCCUCCUCCUCCUCCUCCUCUUCCUCUUCCUCUUCUUCUUCUUCUUCUUCUUCCUCAUCCUCCUCUUCCUCUUGCUUCUUUUCUUCUCUUUCUGCUUCUUCCACAUCCUUUUCCUCCUUUACACUAAAAUCCUUUUGGUAGAUAUCCACACUAACCUUGUCAGUGUCUUUCUUUUCACAUGCAGUUCUCCCAAACAAUUUAAAAUCAAAUAUAUGAUUGCCGUCAUAUCGGAAAACCAAAAAGUCCCCCUCUUCUACAGAAUUAUCUGUCAGAAAUCGCUGCCAUCCGUUCAGAAAGCACACAUCCUUUCCAAUUUGGCCUACCUCCACAUGCCAAACUCUCCCAAAAAAAUCUCUGAGGAUGGCCUUUUCAGGCACAAGGCCAUUAAAGUGCCCUAUAAAAGCUGUUGGGAUGCGCUGCACAAUAAAAGGUAUGCAUGUCAGCGGAAAAUAGUCAAUCACAAUAACAAUUAACAAUAGAUUAUGUUUACCAAUAUUAUAUGGAAAACCUUUAUUUCUAUUUUCUUUAUUUUCAUCAUUUCUUGUGGGUUAAAAGAUGUAUACUGCUGUUGUAGGAUAUAGCAGUCCGCUAAACCAACUGAAAAAAGCCUUAAUGCAUGAUGACUUAAUUUAUUGUUGGUUCUAUGUUUGACAAAACCUCCACCUUUGGGAAUCACCUUAUACAUAGUUCAGAAAGGAGGAAGUUAAGGCUGACUGUAAUAAUAAUAUAUAUAUAAAAAAAAAUUGACAACCAAUGGGAAAAUUUUAAUGUGCUUUCUUUCAUGGACAUAUUUGCCAUAAGUCAGGGUCCAUAAACAUGCAUUUACUUCCUUGAAAUUGAAAUUGGAAGUUCUAAUUGAAAAGAUUGACUAUUUUAAAGUUCAAUAAAAUGGAAAUAAUGUCUUUAGAGUUCAAAUUUUACAGGUCUGACAGACUUCUGGCUCCUAACAUAUUGAUGUUAGGGAACAUGCAACAAAAGUGUUAAAUGAAUAGGAGAGCUUCUGGAAAGAAAAUGAGGCACUGUCAAAGUAGCCUUGUCCUAGACCUUUUUUUUUUUUUUUUUUGACAUUUUCUUCUAAUCACUAAAUUGAAUAAUUUUGCAGAUAUAUCAACUUGCAGCUACUUUCCUUUUUGAUUUUCAUUGGAAUUAUCUUUUCCAUCUUACAUAUCAAAGCUUUCUCGAGUGCAAUAAAAACCUGCAUUAAUUUUUCAAGUGAUAAGAUACCUUCACCAGUCAAUAUUGUGGCUAUGAAGACAAAUUGAUUUUUUUAACCCACUUAAUUGAUUUUUUUAACCCACUUAUGCACCAAAAAAUAGGUAUCACUGGGCUUUAUCUCUAUCCAAUUAGAAUUUCCUUUAUCCUUCAACUUUGUUAAACCUUUAAGCUAAUCUGAUUCUUUCAUAUAUUUCCCCCAAGACAUUUUUAAUAAGAACAAAAAAUAAAUAAAUAAAUAACAAAAAGCCAUGAGAAAAUAACUAAGGGAAAAAUGGACCCUUCUUGGAUUCCCAAUAUUUACAUAACAAACAAGAAACAAUGCUUUCCAAUGUUUAAUGAAUGCUACUUAAGACACUUUAUUAGAGUUGCCAUAUGUGACACUAACAAAAUCUAGCCACUAUCAUUUUUAAUGCUGUCAUAGACUUAUCAAAAAAAAAAAAAAAAAAAGUUAAUACAGUCAUAGCUGCCACUCCGUGUCAGUGACACUAUUGCGCUAACACAACCAAGGCCUCACUUAGAACCAUUAGCAUGUUGUACUGAUUAAUCAUAAUUCCCUGUUUGCUAGUAUUAAAAAACAUAAUUGGAUAAGUACUUUGUUCUUGCUUUAAGUUAGAGGAAAUAUUUUUCUGUUCUUUUCCAUAAGCUAAGUAACCUUUGUAACAGUCUGCUUGGUUGGGCAUUAGUUUAUUUCAAUGGUUUCACCCACCAUUUUCAAGGAAUAGGAGUACGGUUCAAACCUCUGAUGCGUCCAAGAUUAUAACCUAAAGCCUUGAUCUAUGAAGGUCCAUUUGUUUGAACUUACAGAAUAGAGUUUCCUUUCAUUCCAGUUCACACCAUCAUUCCUACAAAAACUUCUUCCUCUCACCAAUUCAUAGAUUGAAUGAUUUCACUUCUUGAUUUUUCAAGUGGGUGUUUUGGUUCCUACAUUUGUCAUCUCUUGCAUUCUGAAAAUUGUCAAAUGUCACUGGAACACUCAACCAAGUCACCUUGACAUAAAAGUAGCUUUCAUUGAGUAGCUCAAAGCCUCAAACCGAUUGGUUGGGUAUUCUUAGGAGAGAAGUCACCAUAAUCAAGACAAAGAACUAAACACUAAGGACCAAGUAUCCUAAAGGCAAAAUGUCGAACUCCAACAUACAUGAAUUGGUAAAUUACUGUGUCGAGAAAUUGUCAUAAGAGGCAUAUCCAACCCUGAUUAUCCUUUCUUUUUCUUGACUUUUCUUUCUUUCUUUCUUGUUUGUUCCACUAUUCAAUCUAAUAUCUAUGAAGAUUACAGCAGUCAUCUCCUGAAAACCCCACAACACCAUGGUAUUCCCAAGUCCCCUAGACAAUCUUAUCCUAUGAAUAAUGCAUGACCUGCCUUUUUUUUUUUUUUUUUACAUAAUACUACAUUUCCCUAUACUCAAUGGCUUAUGAAAUUAAAAUUACCCCAGAUUCAACCUAUCAAAACUCAAAUCAAAGUCCAAAAUGCCAGCUAAAUAAGCAAACAAAUUGGAGAAUUUACAAGUCCUACAAUCAGUCAACCUCACAAGGGUAAAGCCACCAUGUUUUUCAACAUUCAAAGCUACAAACUUCGCAAAUCAAACAAACCAUGCUUAACCUUUCAAGAGCCCAAAAAAGAAAAGGAAAAACAGAGAACCGAGACCUAGAAAAUGUGGAAUAUUUUCUCAUACAAAAAGGGUAUCAGAGAGAGCUGAUUACCAGUCUGUCCGAGCUGUAUUCUGGGAGAUACACUUUGAAGAAUUCAGGCAACACUCUUGGUGGUGAACUCAUCAGGAUCAACAACAAAAAAUAACACUCCAAGAACCCAGAGAAGAAGGCGAGUAUAUCAGCUAGAAGGGAAAACCCAUUGUUUCAGCUCACAAGGCCACACCUACUUAUAUCAGCAAAAACCCAGAGGCAUUUCUGAAACCAGGAGCAAGAAAAGCAAGAGACGGCCAGUUGUGUCAGACACAGUGGCCUCAUCCUCAUCUGUGGCGCGUGGAGGCACUUCCCAAUGGGUGAUUUGGGAUGUGGAGUGUGGUUAACACAAGAGUGUGCAGGUACGUGGUCGGACAAUGAAGAAUAUGGAGCGAAAACACAAAACGCUGAGCUGUGUUUUCUGAAAACAUUUUCAUUGUUUUCUCCGCUUCUCAAUCUUCAGUUUUCAUUAUCUUCCAUACCUGAAAGCGUUUUGCUCAGAAAGUUUGUUGCGUUUUUUUGGGCUUUUUCUGAAAAGUGUAAUCCCUGUGGGCUGAUUCUCUGAUAGCGACUGUUAAAGAAAAUCCUCCAAUUUUUUAUUUCGUCUUCUUCCUGAGUCUCCUCUUCCCUCAGUUGGGUGUAGGCUUGUAGCCCAUUUAUGAUUUAUCAUCUUCACAAUUAUUUUUGUUUUUUAUAUUAGUUAUAUUAUUCAUUAAAAAUAAAUAAAAAAAUCAAAGCCAUUCAAUUCCUUUUUGGUAAUAAUGUCAGGAAAAAAUGUUGAAGAAGGUCAAAAGAAAACAAAAGCAUAUUAUUUUUUAUUUUUUAACUUAAAAAUAGUUUAUAAAAACAAAUUUUAAAAAAUAUUAUCUAAUAAAUUAAUUUUUUAUUUUUAUUUUAAAAAACGGGUGAAAAUAACUCUUAUUUGUUUUUUAGAACUUGUUUUUUUAAUUCAUUUUGUUUUUAAAAAUUAUUUUUAAAGAUAACGAUUAAAUAGUAUUAAAAAAUUUUAAAAAUAAUUUUUAUUUUUAAAAAUAAAAAAUUAUUUUUAUAUUUUAUAAUAUGAAGAAUAAUUAAAAAUAAAGUACUCAAAAUAAAAUUAUUUUAAAUUAGGAUUCGGAUUUUAGUUUUUGAAAUCACUUUGUUUUUGUAUUUUGAAAUUGUUUUGCAAAACACUUUGAAAGGGGAUCACAAAUUGUGAAGGUAGAAUGUCAACCCAAUUCCAAAAGACUGUAUUAGAAUUAAGGAGUCCAACAUUUGAAAUGUUGUUACACCGAGGAGUAAUUUUUGUUUUUUCAAUUUUGAUAAUGUGAAUAAUUUCCAUGAGUUGUCCACUUGUCCCAUUGCGACGUCGUAUAGGGCUGCUUCCUUUUCUUCCUCUUUCUCUCUGCAAUUUCGGUGAAUUAGAGAGGAGGGUAGGGAGAGGACGGCGAGAGUGAGAGAGAGAGAAUGGAUCAAUCUUUCUUGUUAAUGUUGUCGAAUCUCCUCCACCUCCACAACCACCUUGAUCCCACCACCACCUCUCUCCUCUCCGACACCUCCACUGCCACCACCACUGCUACCACUUCCCCCACUUCCCCUACCUCCCUUCUCUCCUCCACCUCCGCCGCCCCACUCCUGUUCUUCACCAUCGCCUCUGUCCUUUCCUAUGUUGCCUCCUCUCGCCCAUCUUCCUCCUCCUCCACCUCCGCAGCCGCAGCCGCCGCCGCCCCCAACCCAGCGACUACUUCUUCCACUUCCGACUACUCCGUCUCCGCCUUCAGGGCACUCUCCACCGAGCACAUCUGGGCCAUGGAAGCCCCUCUCCGAGACGCCCAAUGGCGAUCGCUCUACGGCCUCUCCUAUCCCGUUUUCACCACCGUCGUCGACAAGCUCAAACCCUACAUCGCCCUCUCCAACCUCUCUCUCCCCUCGGACUACGCCGUCGCCAUGGUCCUCUCUCGCCUCUCCCACGGCUUCUCCGCCAAAAC